RNAcentral lists this ribosomal RNA (641 nucleotides) under Salmonella enterica subsp. arizonae. RNAcentral describes it as "partial 23S ribosomal RNA". It matches the Rfam family "Bacterial large subunit ribosomal RNA", at positions 2161 to 2801 of the family's 2925-position model. The record is from RNAcentral. Lineage: Bacteria; Pseudomonadati; Pseudomonadota; Gammaproteobacteria; Enterobacterales; Enterobacteriaceae.
AGUGUGGACGCCAGUCUGCAUGGAGCCGUCCUUGAAAUACCACCCUUUAAUGGCUGGUGUUCUAACGUAGACCCGUGAACCGGGUUGCGGACAGUGUCUGGUGGGUAGUUUGACUGGGGCGGUCUCCUCCUAAAGCGUAACGGAGGAGCACGAAGGUUGGCUAAUCCUGGUCGGACAUCAGGAGGUUAGUGCAAUGGCAUAAGCCAGCUUGACUGCGAGCGUGACGGCGCGAGCAGGUGCGAAAGCAGGUCAUAGUGAUCCGGUGGUUCUGAAUGGAAGGGCCAUCGCUCAACGGAUAAAAGGUACUCCGGGGAUAACAGGCUGAUACCGCCCAAGAGUUCAUAUCGACGGCGGUGUUUGGCACCUCGAUGUCGGCUCAUCACAUCCUGGGGCUGAAGUAGGUCCCAAGGGUAUGGCUGUUCGCCAUUUAAAGUGGUACGCGAGCUGGGUUUAGAACGUCGUGAGACAGUUCGGUCCCUAUCUGCCGUGGGCGCUGGAGAACUGAGGGGGGCUGCUCCUAGUACGAGAGGACCGGAGUGGACGCAUCACUGGUGUUCGGGUUGUCAUGCCAAUGGCACUGCCCGGUAGCUAAAUGCGGAAGAGAUAAGUGCUGAAAGCAUCUAAGCACGAAACUUGCCCCG